This 362-nucleotide transfer-messenger RNA is filed under the name Motiliproteus coralliicola. Its description in RNAcentral is "Standard tmRNA". It matches the Rfam family "transfer-messenger RNA". Rfam says of the family: Bacterial tmRNA, also known as 10Sa RNA or SsrA, is named for its dual tRNA and mRNA-like properties. Its role is to liberate the mRNA from a stalled ribosome. To accomplish this part of the tmRNA is used as a reading frame that ends in a translation stop signal. Lineage: Bacteria; Pseudomonadati; Pseudomonadota; Gammaproteobacteria; Oceanospirillales; Oceanospirillaceae. The record is from Rfam by way of RNAcentral.
GGGGCUGAUUUGGUUUCGACAGGGUGCGGAUGUCCUGUGUGCAUGCCGUGAGGGGUAAACGAUCACGUAAAUCAACGUAUACCAACUUAUAGUUGCCAAUGACGACAACUACGCACUAGCAGCCUAAACACCUGCCUAGCGCCCUUCCACCUGGCUUGCCUGUAGGCUGGGGUUCGGAGGGUCAUCCCAUACAGGAUCGCGUGUAAGCCCGGCCGGGGACCCAAGCGCUAAAACUAAUCCGGCACGCCCUGCGGAAUCCUGUCUGUCGGAGUCUUAAGGGUUACUUAAAAGACUGACUAAGCAUGUAGAUCAUAGGUUCGGAAACAUCGUGGACGCGGGUUCAAGUCCCGCCAGCUCCACCA